AUGGUGUCUUUCCCAACCAAAUG
This 23-nucleotide non-coding RNA is filed under the name Arabidopsis thaliana (thale cress). Lineage: Eukaryota; Viridiplantae; Streptophyta; Magnoliopsida; Brassicales; Brassicaceae. The record is from RNAcentral.